This is a long non-coding RNA of Sinocyclocheilus anshuiensis, 1924 nucleotides long. RefSeq lists it as uncharacterized. The record is from RefSeq and is a predicted model, not a curated record. The transcript is spliced from 2 exons. NCBI's taxonomy places the organism in Eukaryota, Metazoa, Chordata, Actinopteri, Cypriniformes, Cyprinidae.
UAGUACUAAUACAGAAAUCUGACCUGUUUCAUUUAUGACUGACAAAUAUGCAUCGUAUUAAGUUUAUUCCACACUGUGUGCACACUGUUUUAUAUGCAAUUCAUAUAUAUAAAUCUUAAAUUUAGACCUUUUUUUUUUAGUGCAGGGGAGUGGUCUGUAUUUUAGCCAAUCAGAAACCCUGUCAGUCAUUUUGCAUGUUCAGAUUUGCAGACCUUGGGCUGGUGGGCAGGAGUGCGUCUUAGUGGGCGGGGUUUGGCAUAAAAGGCGUAUGUGUGUGUGCGUGUAUCUUUAAGUGAGUGGAAUUUGACAUAUAGGGCGUGUGUGUUGUUUAGUGGGCGGAGUUUGACACAGAGAGCGUGUGUGUCUUAGUUGGCGGGUUUGACAUAAAGGCGUGUGUGUCUUAGUGGGCGGUGUUUGACGUGGUGAAUGUGUGUGUGUUUAGUGGGCGGGGUUUAGCACAGAAGGCGUGCGGGUAUUAGUGGGCGGGGUUUGACUGGGUGAGUGUGUCAUUUAGUGGGCGGGGUUUAGCAGAGAAGGCGUGUGUGUCUUAGUGGGCGGAGUCAGAGGGCGUGUGGGAUUGUAGUCAGGAAAGCUCCUGAAAUCACUUACAGCACUUUUAACAAUCAGACACUGUGUUCAGAGUUUAGAAACUCUUAAAAGGCCAAACAAAAGCUACUUUAUAUUUGUGUUACCAAAUGGUCCGUUCACACAGGACGUGUUCCUGCAUUUAAACACCUGGACUGAGAUCAAUGGAAGAGAACAGAGAAAGUAGUUUUACCUUGACAUGACAGACCGCAACCAAACACACGAAUCUGACACGCAUGUACACAGACAAACAAUAACGCAGCCCGUCCUGUGUGAACGAGCCACAUGUGACUGAACCUGCUUUGCCUUUCAUUACAAACCCUUGUUUUGUUCAUGUUGCGUGUUUUAUUUCGGUGAACAGCUGACAUCACAUCACUGUGCCUUGAUUUCAUACGUGUAAAAUACUAAAGUUGCUUUGGUAUUUGUUGAUUUGAUGUUGUGGAAUAUGUAAUCUAACGUCUGCAGUCAUUUCAGUCCGACACACUUCUGUAAAUGUGAUCUUUGAUCCUCAAACACUAAACGCAGACGAUUGCCUGAAUGAUUUUAGAUGAGAAUUGUUCUGAAAUGAAGAUAAUCUGCAAGUAUUAUUAGACAGCAGUAUUGCAAUUAUAGCGUGCAGUUCUUUUAGUGUUACUGAACUAAUAUUUCAGGAUGUUUUCUGAAAUAUGAACAAGUAUUUUCAAAGGUUCAAUCUGUAUAUUUUCUUUGUUUUGCGGACAGGAUCACACGCUUGUUUUGACAUGUUACUGUUUAAAGUGUUUGCACUGGCUUUCCAUAAACUAGAUGCUUCGGUGUAAACUCAUAACAUAAUAACCUCUUAUCAUAACUCAAGGUAUGUAUUAUCAUAUUGCACUAAAAUACACAAUAUUAAAUUUAAUUCUGAAGCUGCACAUUUAACGCACUGUGUUUUUUGAGAUGGUCAAAAUUGUUUUGAUCUCUGAGCCAUUUAUUUGAGUUUUAUGAUUUCUUUAUGUUGUUAUAUCGAUGUGCCAAACAUGAAUUGAGUUCAAAAAAUAAAUAUUGCACUUGAUGAGUUUGAUUUGCAUGGAUGUCAAUGGAGAAAAUCAAUGUUUGAGUUCAAAUGAUAGUGUUUGAGACCGAAUGUAAUGUAGUUUAAAUGCCUUUCGUGUCUUUUCAGCAUUUCAGGUGUUAAAUGAUGCAGAAUCUUGCCUUCAUCAGUGUAUAAACUAUAAAACUCAGUGGCCUUCGAUCUUUGAACACAGACUGUUUAAUAUUUUCUGCAUCUGUCCAGCUCUUAGAUUUCUAUAUUCAGACUGCACAAAUAAUUGUACAGUUUUGUAUAUAAAUGAAGCCUUUUUCCUGUGGAUUUAUAAAAAAA